UACGUAGGUGGCAAGCGUUGUCCGGAAUUAUUGGGCGUAAAGCGCGCGCAGGCGGUCCUUUAAGUCUGAUGUGAAAGCCCACGGCUCAACCGUGGAGGGUCAUUGGAAACUGGGGGACUUGAGUGCAGGAGAGAAGAGUGGAAUUCCACGUGUAGCGGUGAAAUGCGUAGAGAUGUGGAGGAACACCGGUGGCGAAGGCGGCAUUCUGGACCAAUACUGACGCUGAGGAGCGAAAGCCAGGGGAGCAAACGGG
RNAcentral lists this ribosomal RNA (253 nucleotides) under uncultured bacterium. RNAcentral's name for it is "partial 16S ribosomal RNA". It matches the Rfam family "Bacterial small subunit ribosomal RNA", at positions 524 to 776 of the family's 1533-position model. The record is from RNAcentral.